UUGAACGCUGGCGGCAUGCCUUACACAUGCAAGUCGAACGGCAGCACGGGUGCUUGCACCUGGUGGCGAGUGGCGAACGGGUGAGUAAUACAUCGGAACAUGUCCUGUAGUGGGGGAUAGCCCGGCGAAAGCCGGAUUAAUACCGCAUACGAUCUACGGAUGAAAGCGGGGGACCUUCGGGCCUCGCGCUAUAGGGUUGGCCGAUGGCUGAUUAGCUAGUUGGUGGGGUAAAGGCCUACCAAGGCGACGAUCAGUAGCUGGUCUGAGAGGACGACCAGCCACACGGGGACUGAGACACGGCCCAGACUCCUACGGGAGGCAGCAGUGGGGAAUUUUGGACAAUGGGCGAAAGCCUGAUCCAGCAAUGCCGCGUGUGUGAAGAAGGCCUUCGGGUUGUAAAGCACUUUUGUCCGGAAAGAAAUCCUUGGCUCUAAUACAGUCGGGGGAUGACGGUACCGGAAGAAUAAGCACCGGCUAACUACGUG
RNAcentral lists this ribosomal RNA (485 nucleotides) under uncultured bacterium. RNAcentral's name for it is "partial 16S ribosomal RNA". It matches the Rfam family "Bacterial small subunit ribosomal RNA", at positions 30 to 507 of the family's 1533-position model. The record is from RNAcentral.